GAUGAACGCUGGCGGCGUGCCUAAUACAUGCAAGUCGAGCGAACAGACGAGGAGCUUGCUCCUCUGACGUUAGCGGCGGACGGGUGAGUAACACGUGGAUAACCUACCUAUAAGACUGGGAUAACUUCGGGAAACCGGAGCUAAUACCGGAUAAUAUAUUGAACCGCAUGGUUCAAUAGUGAAAGACGGUUUUGCUGUCACUUAUAGAUGGAUCCGCGCCGCAUUAGCUAGUUGGUAAGGUAACGGCUUACCAAGGCAACGAUGCGUAGCCGACCUGAGAGGGUGAUCGGCCACACUGGAACUGAGACACGGUCCAGACUCCUACGGGAGGCAGCAGUAGGGAACCUUCCGCAAUGGGCGAAAGCCUGACGGAGCAACGCCGCGUGAGUGAUGAAGGUCUUCGGAUCGUAAAACUCUGUUAUUAGGGAAGAACAAAUGUGUAAGUAACUACGCACGUCUUGACGGUACCUAAUCAGAAAGCCACGGCUAACUACGUG
This 497-nucleotide ribosomal RNA is filed under the name uncultured bacterium. RNAcentral's name for it is "partial 16S ribosomal RNA". It matches the Rfam family "Bacterial small subunit ribosomal RNA", at positions 28 to 507 of the family's 1533-position model. The record is from RNAcentral.